GGCCUUAUAGUCAUUAAUGAUGUCAGACUGCAAUUCUGAAGGAGUAGAAGGACUACUAAGGCUU
Molecule: transfer RNA, 64 nt
Filed under: Gampsocleis gratiosa (Chinese bush cricket)
Lineage: Eukaryota; Metazoa; Arthropoda; Insecta; Orthoptera; Tettigoniidae
Also listed under: 1 other name
Description: tRNA-Cys
Source: RNAcentral